GACGAACGCUGGCGGCGUGCUUAACACAUGCAAGUCGAACGAUGAAGCCUAGCUUGCUAGGUGGAUUAGUGGCGAACGGGUGAGUAAUACGUGAGUGACCUACCUUUGACUCUGGGAUAAGCCUGGGAGACUGGGUCUAAUACCGGAUACGACCAAUCUCUGCAUGGGGUGUUGGUGGAAAGCGUUAUGGAGUGGUUUUAGAUGGGCUCACGGCCUAUCAGCUUGUUGGUGAGGUAAUGGCUUACCAAGGCGACGACGGGUGGCCGGCCUGAGAGGGUGACCGGCCACACUGGGACUGAGACACGGCCCAGACUCCUACGGGAGGCAGCAGUGGGGAAUAUUGCACAAUGGGCGCAAGCCUGAUGCAGCGACGCCGCGUGAGGGAUGACGGCCUUCGGGUUGUAAACCUCUGUUAGCAUCGAAGAGGCGAAAGUGACGGUAGGUGCAGAGAAAGCGCCGGCUAACUACGUGCCAGCAGCCGCGGUAAUACGUAGGGCGCGAGCGUUGUCCGGAAUUAUUGGGCGUAAAGAGCUUGUAGGCGGUUGGUCGCGUCUGCUGUGAAGGCCGGGGCUUAACUCCGGUUUUGCAGUGGGUACGGGCUAACUAGAGUGCAGUAGGGGAGACUGGAAUUCCUGGUGUAGCGGUGGAAUGCACAGAUAUCAGGAGGAACACCGAUGGCGAAGGCAGGUCUCUGGGCUGUAACUGACGCUGAGAAGCGAAAGCAUGGGGAGCGAACAGGAUUAGAUACCCUGGUAGUCCAUGCCGUAAACGUUGGGCACUAGGUGUGGGGGACAUUCCACGUUUUCCGCGCCGUAGCUAACGCAUUAAGUGCCCCGCCUGGGGAGUACGGCCGCAAGGCUAAAACUCAAAGGAAUUGGCGGGGGCCCGCACAAGCGGCGGAGCAUGCGGAUUAAUUCGAUGCAACGCGAAGAACCUUACCAAGGCUUGACAUGCAUUAGAUCGCGUCAGAGAUGGCGUUUCCCUUCGGGGCUGGUGUACAGGUGGUGCAUGGUUGUCGUCAGCUCGUGUCGUGAGAUGUUGGGUUAAGUCCCGCAACGAGCGCAACCCUCGUUCUAUGUUGCCAGCGGUUCGGCCGGGGACUCAUAGGAGACUGCCGGGGUCAACUCGGAGGAAGGUGGGGAUGACGUCAAAUCAUCAUGCCCCUUAUGUCUUGGGCUUCACGCAUGCUACAAUGGCCGGUACAGAGGGUUGCGAUACUGUGAGGUGGAGCUAAUCCCUUAAAGCCGGUCUCAGUUCGGAUUGGGGUCUGCAACUCGACCCCAUGAAGUCGGAGUCGCUAGUAAUCGCAGAUCAGCAACGCUGCGGUGAAUACGUUCCCGGGCCU
RNAcentral lists this ribosomal RNA (1345 nucleotides) under uncultured bacterium. Its description in RNAcentral is "bacterial SSU rRNA". It matches the Rfam family "Bacterial small subunit ribosomal RNA", at positions 28 to 1381 of the family's 1533-position model. The record is from RNAcentral.